CUCAGCCGCAGACAUUAGUGCUAGGAAGAUGGCGCACCCGGCGAUGUUUCCUAGAAGGGGCAGCAGCAGUAGCAGCGGCAGCAGCUGCGUUACUGCUCCCACUGCACCAGGUACCGGCGUUGGGAGCGCUGCCCUCUCCGCUGAGGAUUAUCAGCCGCCUUUGCUGGUCCAGCCGCCGCCUCCAUCUCCUGCAGCAGCUUCAACAGCGGGUCCACAGCCGACACCCCCUCAUCCACAAAGCUUGAACCUCCUCUCACAGUCUCAGCUCCAGCCACAGCCCCUUGCACAGACUGGAGCUCAAAUGAAAAAGAAAAGUGGCUUUCAGAUUACCAGUGUGACCCCUGCUCAAAUAUCAGCUAGUAUGAGCUCUAAUAACAGCAUAGCUGAGGAUACAGAAAGCUAUGAUGACCUGGAUGAGUCUCACACUGAAGACCUGUCAUCUUCAGAAAUCUUGGAUGUGUCUUUAUCCAGAGCCACUGAUAUGGGAGAACCUGAGAGGAGUUCUUCUGAAGAGACUCUAAAUAACUUCCAAGAGGCAGAGACUCCUGGGGCUGUUUCUCCAAACCAGCCUCAUCUUCCUCAGCAGCAUGCUCCUCUGCCUCAUCACCCACAGCAGAGUGUUGUGAUCAAUGGAAGUGUUCAUCCCCAUCAUGUUCAUCAUCACCACCAUCUUCACCACCACCAUCAUGGACACCAUCAUCCAUCCCAUCCUGGGGUGGGUAAUGCCCCACUUUCUGGAGGACCACCGCCCAGUCCAUCGUUUAGAAAACUCUCAACAACUGGAAGCUCUGACAAUGUUAUAUCAACUGCACCAGUUUCUGCUGCAUCAUCCACUGGUUCCCCAGCAUCUGCCGUGUCUAAUAUCCGCACUACAAGUAGUCCUGGCAAUUUAGGUAUAAGUCCUGCUGCUGGAACUAGUACCUUAAGUAAUAUUGGUGCUGGUAGUUCUAGUGUGGCAAGCAAUGUGCUUGGUACUAUAAAUUUAAGCAACAUCAUGAGUACUGGUAAUGUAAAUGCUUUGUCUGGAACUAGCAGCAAUGCUAAUGUGAAUAUCUUGAGUGGUGUUGGCAAUGGUACGAGUGCUUCCUCUAGUGUCAUUAACAAUGUUACUAAUCCAACUGCAGGAAUGGCAGUGGGAUCAAGCCAGCAGCAGCCUGCAUCUGGCACGUCAAGGUUUAGGGUUGUAAAAUUAGAUUCUAGUUCUGAACCUUUCAAAAAAGGUAGAUGGACUUGCACUGAAUUCUAUGAUAAAGAAAACACUGUUGCAGUUUCGGAGGGAGUAGCAGUAAACAAAGCAGUAGAGACGAUAAAACAAAACCCGCUUGAAGUGACUUCUGAAAGGGAGAGCACCAGUGGGAGUUCUGUUAGCAGCAAUGUAAGCACACUGAGUCACUAUACAGAAAGUGUGGGAAGUGGAGAAAUGGGAGCACCUACUGUGGUACAGCAGCAAGCAUUUCAAGGUGUGGGUCCGCAGCAGAUGGAUUUUAGCAGUGCUGCUCCUCCAGCAAUUCCAGCAUCUAGUAUACCACAGAGUGUUUCUCAAUCACAGCUUGCACAAGUCCAGCUGCAUUCUCAAGAAGUAAACUAUCCACAGCAGAAGCCAGGGGUCCAACCUCCUGCACAGGCCAGUCUAACCACUGUUACUGGGGUUCAGCCAGCCCCAGUUAAUAUACUAGGUGUAUCCCCAUCUCUGGGCCACCAGCAACCUGCCCUUCAGAGUAUGGCUCAACAGCAGCUGCCGUAUUCGCAGCCGGCGCAGCCUGUGCAGACUUUGCCAGUGGUGCAGCAGCAGUUGCAGUACGGACAGCAGCAGCAACAGCAGCCAGUUCCUACGCAGAUGGCCGCGGGUCACGUUAAGGCGGUGAACCAAAACUCUGUCACAGGAGCUAUGCCAGACUACAUUCAACAUCAGCAGAUCCUUCAGACUCCAGCCCCUGCCAUGCAGCCAAGUUCUACAGGAGUAGGAGCUGGGCAACCGGUUCCUGUUGCCCAGGCACAGGGCAUGCAGCCUUCAGUGCAAGCACAUCCAGCUGCUGCCCCAGCUCAGCCUGUUGCACAUGCUCCAGCAGCAAUACCAGGUGUAGCUGCCAGUGGUCAAAUGCUAAAUGUUGGGCAGCAAGGAAGUGUAGCUGCUGUGGUGCAACCACCAUCUGCUGCAAACCAAAUUCCACCUCCAGUUAUGCCAUCAACGGCUGCUCCUCCAUCUUCCCAAGUAGUGCAGCCUGUGCAGACAGGAAUAAUGCAGCAAGGAUUACAGGCUAGCGCUGCAGGCCUUCCUCAGCAAAUGGUCAUUGCUCAGCAAAACACCUUGUUACCACAGGCACAAGGAGUGGAAUCUGUAGUCCAAGGGAUGACUGGCCAGCAGCUGCCUGCGGUAAGCCCUAUACCCUCUGCUAGUACUGUUCCUGCUCCAAGUCAAGCUGGUUCAGCUGUGCCUCCUGGCAUACCUUCUGCUUCUGUAGGUUUGGGACAGCCACAGAAUAUAGCACAGGCUUCGGCUGUGCAGAAUGGCAGCUUGGCUCAAAGUGUUAGUCAGCCUCCCUUGAUAUCAACAAGUAUAGGUAUGCCAGUGGCACAGAGUGUGCCACAGCAGAUGCCAUUAAGUUCUACCCAGUUCCCUGCACAAUCACUAGCUCAGUCCAUUGUAAGCCAAAUCGAAGAUGGCAGACGCCCUACAGAACCUUCCUUGGCGGGUUUACCUCAAGCUGCCAGCGUUGAGAGUGGUGGUGGAGCAUCGGCCGCUUCAGAUGGCGGUAGCAGCAGCAUGCCGUCCUCGGCGUCCCUCUUCCCGCUGAAGGUGCUGCCCUUGACAACGCCUCUUGUAGAUGGUGAGGAUGAGAGAUACAGAAUGACAGUCAAACAUUACACACUGGUAUGCCUGUGAAGAGGCACUGCCAAAGUAAAAUGUGUCUAGUGCAAAAGCUUGGAGUUCUGGCUGAUCAAAGCAGAUGGUAUCCUGUACAAUUUACUCAUAAUUGUUUAAACUUUCGAUUUCUUGGCUAUUGAGCUCACUGAUGCAGAAAAAUGGAGACCACUCCUCAGUGACUCAUGAAUUGGCUGUGGAAUGUGCCCUAUAGAGAAGGAAGAAAGCAAUAAAGGGAGUUUCCCUCCAGUCUUUCUGCCUCCCUACCCUGGAAGUAUGGAGUCCCUGCCUCAGCCUACGGCUUCAUUCUUUUUCCAGCUGCCCACAAAAGUAAAGAACCAGUGUGAGAGUUUGAAGAAAGAAUCCGCUCAGAGGACUGAGUCUCAAGCAAAAGCUCCAGGUUGCAGACUCAGAAAGAAACUUCCUUUGGGGAAGGAUCUGCUUCCAGGAUUUGCUCGUCUCUUUUUCCUUGGGCAAACAGUUCUUGAAGCAAACAACAGGGUUGCAGGACACCUUCUAACCUUUAUACUGCAUCACAAGCCUUCAGCAGAAGAUCUUAUGUUGCUGGAAGAUGACUGGGUUUGGAUCUUGGCCUUCCCUAAGCAGGAUCUCCUGGCAAAAAAAUGGGAUUGGGAAAGAAAUGGCACCUUUUUCCAUCACACAGAACCACCCUAGAAAUGGAGGCCUAGGCAGAAAAUUACUUGUAAUGCAUUGUUCUUUAGGAAAUGUGUUUGGCCUCCCAUGGUCCUUUUGUUACAAUGUCAUACAGAUAUCCUUUAUAAAAUCUAAACCUGGCAUCUUCCUAUCUGAAGAUCAAGUCAAUAAAUCCAAGAUUAAGAGUUUACAGGUCUAAUAAUGUGGUCGGGUCUUGCUGUUCCUUGCAUAGGAGAUGCCACGUGAAUCUGUGAAACAGGGUUCUGCUGUGGUUCCGACUGUUAUAUUUGUAAAGCCUUUUCUACUUAUAUUAAAAUUAUUAGAAAUAAUAAAGGUUCUUGUGAAAAUGGUAUUUAGACUUCUACCUUGAGGGGUUUACUUAAAAAAUAAAUUUGAGCCAAAAUGUCGCAAUGGGCAAUUGGGAAGUAGUGUAUAUUUUGAGGUUUCCUGUGGCUUUGUGUCACAAAAAAAGUGUGUUGGAACUGCUGAGAGCUAUAAAAGUGGAAAUCUUAGAUUAUUCUUUAAGAGUGAGAAGUUGUUUGUUAGAAAGCAGAAAGCUUUUAAUUUUUCCCCCUAAGGGAUUCUGUAGUCAAACUUAAUUAAAUGUCUUCUAAGAUCUCAAAUAAAACCCUUCUGUUUGGCAGUAGCAAACAGCACACACAGGCCUGUGCACUUGUGUUGUCACUAUAGGAAAUUAGUUUCAAAGAAUGGGGCUUAGUUCUAAUGUUCAGAUUAGGAAAGGAGAAAGUUUUGUUCUGAAGCUGAGUGUGAGAAUAGGAGGCAGGAGGGUGUACCAGACCCUCUGGCCUUAGGUGAAGAGCCCUUUCGUUUUUUCUGUUUGCUGCUUCUGGCAGUUGAAGUAAACUAGCCAGAUGCUUAUACUUGAAUCCAAUUAAUUUCUUAAAUCAGUUGCCACAAAACAUUGUUUUUUAACUAAUGCCUAGAUCUUUUGUCAAAUUCACCAGCUUAUUUAAAUUAUUCAAUAGUCUUAACAUAGCCCUGAGGCUACUGCUUCAUGGCAGUUGUCACUUCUUAGUAUUCUGGAAUGCACUGCAGUCCUAGUACAGUCUAAAAAUAAUUGUUCAGAUGGUGGUGUUUAAGUACAUACUUAUGUAGUGAGCCAUUUUCACUGGACUUUCUGAAAUUGGCUUUCUGUUGGAUGGCUUUUUAAUAUCUUAUUUUGCUGUGAUUAUCAAACUUUGUCUUGGUGCUUCUGUGGUUAUUGAGUAAAGUGCUGAAUUUAUAACCUGGUAUUUUUAGAGAACUGAUAGUCACAUGCCUGUGUUAAACUAUGCAAGCACAGUAACACUUGUUAACUUUGAAGUUUAAAAUUAAAUCAGUUUAAUGUAUCAAAUUCCAUCCUAUUAUAAUAUGUGGAAAUAUGUAUGUGAUGAACUUAAAAUUUAGUAGUUGCUACAGAUACAGACAUGAAUUGUGUACUGAACAGAAGUAAUCUAGACAUUAAUAGAUGAAGAUCUGUGGGUCUCAGAAAUGAAUUCUAACAUCUGUGACUAGAGUAUUGUGCCAGCAGUGCUUUUAGUUGAAAAUACCUGUUUUUCAAAUUUCUAGUCCAUUUAAGGUCUGGUAUACUUUGUGCCUUAAUAGGUAUACUUACACUUGCCUCAGCCACAGAUUUUGGUAAUUUUGUUCUGUAGUAAGUAAAUUUAGGACUGUAAAAUACUUAGGAAACAGGCACUGAGAACUGUUUAUGUUACUGUUGCAGUUCUUAAAAUGGCUUUACUCCUCCCCAUCACAAUUAAGAAACAAAACCACCAAAACAAAAGCAAAAACCAAACAAAAAAGCCUGUUGCAAUUCUACAGUUGGUAUUUUGAUAUUUGUUUAUCACCACAGCAUUAGCAUGUUUGUCAUGCUCUGAGUUUUACACUUGGAAUCCUGGGUUCUUGAUACAUCCUUAGAACAAUAACUCAUGCCUUUGUGUUACUAAAUAAUAAAGAUACCUGAAACAAUUUU
RNA transcript from Serinus canaria (Common canary), 5489 nucleotides. It is a transcript of the gene named TSC22 domain family member 1, with no coding region annotated. The record is from RefSeq and is a predicted model, not a curated record. The transcript is spliced from 5 exons. Lineage: Eukaryota; Metazoa; Chordata; Aves; Passeriformes; Fringillidae.